RNAcentral lists this ribosomal RNA (478 nucleotides) under uncultured bacterium. Its description in RNAcentral is "partial 16S ribosomal RNA". It matches the Rfam family "Bacterial small subunit ribosomal RNA", at positions 28 to 523 of the family's 1533-position model. The record is from RNAcentral.
GACGAACGCUGGCGGCGUGCUUAACACAUGCAAGUCGAACGGUAAGGCCCUUCGGGGUACACGAGUGGCGAACGGGUGAGUAAAACGUGGGUGAUCUGCCCUGCACUUCGGGAUAAGCCUGGGAAACUGGGCCUAAUACCGGAUAGGACCACUGCCUGCAUGGGUGGUGGUGGAAAGCUUUUGCGGUGUGGGAUGGGCCCGCGGCCUAUCAGCUUGUUGGGGGGGUGAUGGCCUACCAAGGCGACGACGGCUAGCCGGCCUGAGAGGGUGACCAGCCACACUGGGACUGAGAUACGGCCCAGACUCCUACGGGAGGCAGCAGUGGGGAAUAUUGCACAAUGGGCGCAAGCCUGAUGCAGCGACGCCGCGUGAGGGAUGACGGCCUUCGGGUUGUAAACCUCUUUCAGCACCGACGAAGCGCAAGUGACGGUAGGUGCAGAAGAAGGACCGGCCAACUACGUGCCAGCCGCCGCAGUAA